This is a non-coding RNA of Vicugna pacos (alpaca), 901 nucleotides long. Lineage: Eukaryota; Metazoa; Chordata; Mammalia; Artiodactyla; Camelidae. The record is from RefSeq and is a predicted model, not a curated record.
AAAUCUCUAUACAACUUUAAAAGAAGUCUUAAUGAAAUGUUAUGGGUGAGAUCAAGGAGAUUGUGAGCCAAAAUGAAACUACCACAGUGAAUAUGGAUAGAGAAUCCUUAAUGAAGAAAAUAACUAUUGGAAAUGAGAAAAGCUAGUUCUUCUGAGACUAAUCAAAUACAAGGACUGGAUGUGAAUAAUCAAUAAGAUCUAAUCAAUGUGCAAAUGCAUAUCAUAGGAAAUGUAUUAAACGGUGAGCACUGGAAUGAACUUGGAUACUGUUCUCAUAUUGCACACACAUUUUUGUCCAUCCAGUAACCAGCUGAGUCUUUCAUAUUUUGAUGAAGACAAUUCCCAUAGUCUUCCCAGUGACCUCGAACAAGUUGCAAGAACAAAUUUGUCUGUUUCUGCUUAUAACUCCUGAAGCUUGUCAACUAUAAAUUGACUCACUAUUGGGUACAUUUAUUUUGUGUUUCAUGUGAUAGCUUAAACACACUACACUGAAAUUUGCCUAAACCAUAUUAUUUUAAUUUAUCAUAAUUUAUAAGUAAUAUACAGAUAAAACAAAUUUCUUAGUCUAAUGGGUGAUGGAAAUGUAUUCUAAGAGAGAUGCCUUUGCAAAAGUGUCCAUAUAUUUAUUAUGUUUCAGCCUUAUUACAAGGUAAUGCACACACCUAAAUUGUAUACUACCAAGCAAAUAGUUGCUUUACUUAGACGGCUUUAUGUUAUUUAUAAAUGAUCCCUACUUACCUAGGAAAAGAAGGCUUCUACUAGGCCUACUUGGAGGAUAAUAAUUUAAAUUAGAUUAAACUUUGAAUGUAAUGAAUAUUUGAGGGGGAGGCUAUAUAGCUCAUUGGUAGAGUGCAUGCUUAGCAUGUACAAGGUCCUGGGUUCAUUCCCUAGUACCUCCAUU